This 29-nucleotide non-coding RNA is filed under the name Rattus norvegicus (Norway rat). The record is from RNAcentral. Lineage: Eukaryota; Metazoa; Chordata; Mammalia; Rodentia; Muridae.
UGAGAAUGAAUGAGUUGCUCUUUGAAAGU